Molecule: ribosomal RNA, 465 nt
Filed under: uncultured bacterium
Lineage: Bacteria
Description: bacterial SSU rRNA
Rfam family: Bacterial small subunit ribosomal RNA
Source: RNAcentral
GGAGGAAAGUAGGGGAUCGCAAGACCUUGCGCUCUUUGAGCGGCCGAUGUCUGAUUAGCUAGUUGGUGAGGUAAAGGCUUACCAAGGCGACGAUCAGUAGCUGGUCUGAGAGGAUGACCAGCCACACUGGGACUGAGACACGGCCCAGACUCCUACGGGAGGCAGCAGUGGGGAAUUUUGGACAAUGGGGGAAACCCUGAUCCAGCCAUGCCGCGUGAGUGAAGAAGGCCUUCGGGUUGUAAAGCUCUUUCAGCCGGAACGAAACGGUCACGGCUAAUACCUGUGAUCACUGACGGUACCGGAAGAAGAAGCACCGGCUAACUACGUGCCAGCAGCCGCGGUAAUACGUAGGGUGCAAGCGUUAAUCGGAAUUACUGGGCGUAAAGCGUGCGCAGGCGGUUUUGUAAGUCAGAUGUGAAAUCCCCGGGCUUAACCUGGGAACUGCGUUUGAAACUACAAAGCUAG